UACACUUAGUGGCGGACGGGUGAGUAACGCGUGGGUACCUGCCUCACACUGGGGGAUAACAGUUAGAAAUAGCUGCUAAUACCGCAUAAGUCCGCAUGGAAAAAACUCCGGUGGUGUGAGAUGGACCCGCGUCUGAUUAGCCAGUUGGCGGGGUAACGGCCCACCAAAGCGACGAUCAGUAGCCGGUCUGAGAGGAUGUCCGGCCACACUGGAACUGAGACACGGUCCAGACACCUACGGGUGGCAGCAGUCGAGAAUCAUUCACAAUGGGGGAAACCCUGAUGGUGCGACGCCGCGUGGGGGAAGAAGGUCUUCGGAUUGUAAACCCCUGUCAUGUGGGACAUUAAAAGAUAGUACCACAAGAGGAAGAGACGGCUAACUCUGUGCCAGCAGCCGCGGUAAUACAGAGGCCUCAAGCGUUGUUCGGAAUCACUGGGCGUAAAGCGUGCGUAGGCGGUUUCGUAAGUCGUGUGUGAAAGGCGGGGGCUCAACCCCCGGACUGCACAUGAUACUGCGAGACUAGAGU
This 526-nucleotide ribosomal RNA is filed under the name uncultured bacterium. RNAcentral's name for it is "bacterial SSU rRNA". It matches the Rfam family "Bacterial small subunit ribosomal RNA", at positions 87 to 647 of the family's 1533-position model. The record is from RNAcentral.